GGUAUGAAUAUUAAUAGGAUAGCAGAGUCUGAUGGAGAAGACGAAGAAUCAGUCAAUAUCAAUACCUCUCAUUUAUCUGGCUCUUUCUUUGCUGGGCAAGAGCUAUUCCAAGCGCUCUGCAUACAUGAUCUGAUUUUAUCAAUACUACAGCCUCCUGAGGAGCUGCAUGAAGUAUGCAGCUAUCGUCCCUAUACCACAGGGCCCGUGCUGGUCUCAUUCUGUCGACACUGAUUUCUGAAGGUCCAGCCACCUAGAUUUCUGAGCUCAAAACUACAGGAGAUGAAAAAUUAAAACAGGACCAAAAGCCUCCUCUGGCAGGUCUUGCUCUAUGAUGUUUAGCAGUGAAUACGAAUGUUACCAGAGGACACUAGAGCUGAAAAUCACCUGGAGGACACCUGCCCUUAUGCCUUCAUUUCACAGAGAACGUGCCUGCCAGUGACCCGUGGGGCAACUCUCCUCACUUCUCUGGAGGGGGAAGAAGCCAACAGCUCUGAGCGGUCUGGAAACUCUGCUAGGUGCCAUGGCGCUGUGAGCAGUUGCCCAGCCACUACAAGAAGGAACCCCACCCUUGUCCUACAUUUAUUUUCUUUCCCAGACCUCACAAAACCACAAAAAUCAAAGAUGACUCCCAAGAAGCCAGUCAUCGGACUUUGCAAACCCAGCCCAAGGCUAUGGAUGGUAGGGUCACAGAGCUGUUUCUCUGCUCCUGUUGACUCAGGUCUGUUUACCUGGCUCCAGAGUUCUAGUUUCCUUGCCUCGGAACCUGUGCAGCCCUCAGAUUUAUGCUCUGGGCAGACAGGGGAUUUAUGGCACAUUCAUCACCCAUCCCACCCCAGGACUCAGCACCUCUCCCUGCAGCUGUCAAAACCACCCACUCGUACCCAGCAGAGCAUCAAGUAGUUCACCGAGGGGAACUACUCGGAAAUAGUGCCCAGUUCUGGCCCAAAGGCUUUGCUAGUUGCCCAAGUUCUGGUGAUAAAAAUGCCAAAUAUAAUGCAGAGUGAAAAACAGAGGUCACACUGGCCCAGAGGGCAGCAGUAGUCACAGGCUGGGAUUAGGGGUUAGAGGAGGUUUGGCGGAUGCUGUGCUCCUGGACUUGCCCUGAGGCACCCUGACCUUGAAAAUGCAGGGAGUAGAUGGAGUCCUUUUCCGGGAGCUGUGCUAGAAGCAGAGGUGUUCUGGGGAUCGGGCUAAAAUCAGAAGCUAGCUCCCCUUAGUCUCAGGAGAAUUUUUUUUUUUUCAAUAGCUUUGACUUUCAUUUGGGGAAAAUUAAGUGAGAGGAAUGUAGAGUCUGGGGCUAGAAUGUGACUGAAGCCGCCAGCUGUGUCAGUCCUUAAGCUGUAAAAUGCACAGGUCAGUAGUACCUACAAAUAUUGAAUGUAAGCCAUGUGUCAUCCACUGGAAUUUGAAUAUAUCUUUCACACAUUCAUUUCUGAACCUCACAGCAGCUCUGAGAUCACAUUUAUUACUAAGCCCGUUUUAAAGAUGCAGAAUAUGAGGUUCAAGUAGUAGCAGAACUUGGCAAGUUCACAUAGUAAGUUGCUGGUAUUGGAACCCAGAUACAGUAUUCCUUUACAAAGUAAAUUCAAGUCAUGCUGUGUCCGCUGGGCCUCUCAUUGCUAAGCCCAAGAGAAGAGUAACCAUGUCACCACUCCUGGCAUCAUGAAGUAACCCAACUUGCUUCACCUCAUGAUAGCCAUUUUCUAGCACAAAUGAUGGCUCUGGGCCUCUCUCUGGAUAAAGGAAGUAUAGAGUAAUCCUCUCUGUUACCUCCUGAAGGAGAAAGGACACAGAGCUUGGCAGUUUACCAGUUCGUUCUUUUAUUUCUUCUCUGCACUUCAAAUCAUUUUUUCUUACAUUUGUUAACAUCUCUUCCAGUGACAUACAAACUAAAGCCAAAGAAAUUGAUUGAAAUGCUAUGAUUCUGUGACUAUGUCUGCUAGGAACUUGGCCAAAAGGGAAUCAAAAUAAAUAUCAC
Molecule: long non-coding RNA, 1978 nt
Organism: Bos taurus (domestic cattle)
Lineage: Eukaryota; Metazoa; Chordata; Mammalia; Artiodactyla; Bovidae
Source: Ensembl